UGUACCCGCUGAACUUAAGCAUAUCAAUAAGCGGAGGAAAAGAAAAUAACAAUGAUUCCCCUAGUAACGGCGAGUGAAGCGGGAAGAGCUCAAAUUUGAAAUCUCCUUCGGGCGAAUUGUAGUUUAAAGAAUCGUUUUCUGGAACAGGCAGGGUAUAAGUCCUUUGGAACAAGGCAUCGUAGAGGGUGACGAUCCCGUUCACGAUCCCGCUAUUGGUCCUUUGUGAUACGAUUUCAAAGAGUCGGGUUGUUUGGGAAUGCAGCCCUAAAUGGGUGGUAAAUACCACCUAAAGCUAAAUAUUGGCGAGAGACCGAUAGCGAACAAGUACCGUGAGGGAAAGAUGAAAAGAACUUUGAAAAGAGAGUAAAAUAGUACGUGAAAUUGUCAAUAGUGAACGGUUUGGAACUAUUGUUUGUAUUUAGAAAAUCAAUUGGUCUUUAUGGCCAGUGCACUUUUCUAUGUACAGGUCAACAUCAGUUUGAUUCGGGAUAAAAAGCUUUAUGAGCCCUCGGGUGACUAAAGUGCUGUCUUGGGUUGGACUGAGGACUGCAGCAUAGUCAUAGGCUUCGGCACUACUAUUGCUUCGGAUGUUGACAAAAUGGUUUCAAGCCACCCGUCUUGAAACACGGACCAAGGAGUCUAACAUAUCUGCGAGUUUUUGGGUGUCAAACCCAUAAGCGUAAUGAAAGUGAAUAAGAUGGGAUCAUUUGUGCACCAUCGACCGGUCUGGAUUUUUUUGAUAGAUCUGAGUUAGAGCAUAUAUGUUAGGACCCGAAAGAUGGUGAACUAAGCCUGAAUAGGGUGAAGCCAGAGGAAACUCUGGUGGAAGCUCGUAGCGGUUCUGACGUGCAAAUCGAUCGUCGAAUUUGGGUUUAGGGGCGAAAGACUAAUCGAACCAUCUAGUAGCUGGUUCCCUCCGAAGUUUCCCUCAGGAU
RNAcentral lists this ribosomal RNA (935 nucleotides) under Neokarlingia chitinophila. RNAcentral describes it as "eukaryotic LSU rRNA". It matches the Rfam family "Eukaryotic large subunit ribosomal RNA", at positions 22 to 979 of the family's 3401-position model. The record is from RNAcentral. Lineage: Eukaryota; Fungi; Chytridiomycota; Chytridiomycetes; Polychytriales.